GGCUCAAUGGUCUAGUGGUAUGAUUCUCGCUUUGGGUGUCAUGUUUCACAUUUGCGAGAGGCCCCGCGUUCGAAUCGCGGUUGAGCCC
Molecule: non-coding RNA, 88 nt
Organism: Aplosporella prunicola CBS 121167
Lineage: Eukaryota; Fungi; Ascomycota; Dothideomycetes; Botryosphaeriales; Aplosporellaceae
Source: the annotation of a RefSeq genome assembly